GCAGUCCCUCCCCGCCCCCGCUCUCCCCUCCGCAGCCUGCAGCCCGAGACUUCUGUAAAGGACUGGGGCCCCGCAACUGGCCUCUCCUGCCCUCUUAAGCGCAGCGCCAUUUUAGCAACGCAGAAGCCCGGCGCCGGGAAGCCUCAGCUCGCCUGAAGGCGGCGGAAGGUGAUCGAAUUCCGGUGAUGCGAGUUGUUCUCCGUCUAUAAAUACGCCUCGCCCGAGCUGUGCGGUAGGCAUUGAGGCAGCCAGCGCAGGGGCUUCUGCUGAGGGGGCAGGCGGAGCUUGAGGAAACCGCAGAUAAGUUUUUUUCUCUUUGAAAGAUAGAGAUUAAUACAACUACUUAAAAAAUAUAGUCAAUAGGUUACUAAGAUAUUGCUUAGCGUUAAGUUUUUAACGUAAUUUUAAUAGCUUAAGAUUUUAAGAGAAAAUAUGAAGACUUAGAAGAGUAGCAUGAGGAAGGAAAAGAUAAAAGGUUUCUAAAACAUGACGGAGGUUGAGAUGAAGCUUCUUCAUGGAGUAAAAAAUGUAUUUAAAAGAAAAUUGAGAGAAAGGACUACAGAGCCCCGAAUUAAUACCAAUAGAAGGGCAAUGCUUUUAGAUUAAAAUGAAGGUGACUUAAACAGCUUAAAGUUUAGUUUAAAAGUUGUAGGUGAUUAAAAUAAUUUGAAGGCGAUCUUUUAAAAAGAGAUUAAACCGAAGGUGAUUAAAAGACCUUGAAAUCCAUGACGCAGGGAGAAUUGCGUCAUUUAAAGCCUAGUUAACGCAUUUACUAAACGCAGACGAAAAUGGAAAGAUUAAUUGGGAGUGGUAGGAUGAAACAAUUUGGAGAAGAUAGAAGUUUGAAGUGGAAAACUGGAAGACAGAAGUACGGGAAGGCGAAGAAAAGAAUAGAGAAGAUAGGGAAAUUAGAAGAUAAAAACAUACUUUUAGAAGAAAAAAGAUAAAUUUAAACCUGAAAAGUAGGAAGCA
RNAcentral lists this long non-coding RNA (972 nucleotides) under Homo sapiens (human). RNAcentral's name for it is "metastasis associated lung adenocarcinoma transcript 1". The record is from RNAcentral. Lineage: Eukaryota; Metazoa; Chordata; Mammalia; Primates; Hominidae.